RNAcentral lists this long non-coding RNA (437 nucleotides) under Elaeis guineensis (African oil palm). RNAcentral describes it as "long non-coding RNA (EGUI_LNC027370)". The record is from RNAcentral. Lineage: Eukaryota; Viridiplantae; Streptophyta; Magnoliopsida; Arecales; Arecaceae.
ACAAAAUGAGCACAAUCAUCCAAACGAUUGGCUUUAGGACAUAUUUUCCAACAGGAGGGUCCUCACCGGAGCCACCUCCAGCAGAACUUCCUUUGUAGGUUCAUCUUCUCCGGCAUUGAGCAGAGCUCAGCACCAUCCUUCUCUAAUUAACUUCACCGCUCUCAGUCUCGGCCUUAACUAUGUGCACCUUCUCCGAUGAUGGCACAUCAUUUUCUGGCACUCCCGCCGCCCACUAACAGGCAUGGUUCCUAGUUGGCUCCAGGCUGACUAUCGACUACCCUCUGGAGAAAAGCCGCAACAAUAAUCACUUAUCAAAUACUUCUCUUGAUGCGUCGCCACAUAAACAAGCAGCUAUGGUUAAUUUAUUAAGAAAGAGUAACAGCCAUUAGAACAGGCCCUCCAUUACAUUAUCUAUUACAUCAUCUAUAAAAUAACAG